GAGCGGGGAAGUAGCUUGCUACUUAACUUAGCGGCGGACGGGUGAGUAAUACUUAGGAAUCUGCCUAUUAGUGGGGGACAACAUUUCGUAAGGAAUGCUAAUACCGCAUACGUCCUACGGGAGAAAGCAGGGGAUCACUUGUGACCUUGCGCUAAUAGAUGAGCCUAAGUCGGAUUAGCUAGUUGGUGGGGUAAAGGCCUACCAAGGCGACGAUCUGUAGCGGGUCUGAGAGGAUGAUCCGCCACACUGGGACUGAGACACGGCCCAGACUCCUACGGGAGGCAGCAGUGGGGAAUAUUGGACAAUGGGGGGAACCCUGAUCCAGCCAUGCCGCGUGUGUGAAGAAGGCCUUUUGGUUGUAAAGCACUUUAAGCGAGGAGGAGGCUACUCUAGUUAAUACCUAGAGAUAGUGGACGUUACUCGCAGAAUAAGCACCGGCUAACUCUGUGCCAGCAGCCGCGGUAAUACAGAGGGUGCGAGCGUUAAUCGGAUUUACUGGGCGUAAAGCGUGCGUAGGUGGCCAAUUAAGUCAAAUGUGAAAUCCCCGAGCUUAACUUGGGAAUUGCAUUCGAUACUGGUUGGCUAGAGUAUGGGAGAGGAUGGUAGAAUUCCAGGUGUAGCGGUGAAAUGCGUAGAGAUCUGGAGGAAUACCGAUGGCGAAGGCAGCCAUCUGGCCUAAUACUGACACUGAGGUACGAAAGCGUGGGGAGCAAACAGGAUUAGA
RNAcentral lists this ribosomal RNA (724 nucleotides) under uncultured Pseudomonadota bacterium. Its description in RNAcentral is "bacterial SSU rRNA". It matches the Rfam family "Bacterial small subunit ribosomal RNA", at positions 64 to 782 of the family's 1533-position model. The record is from RNAcentral. Lineage: Bacteria; Pseudomonadati; Pseudomonadota.